This is a long non-coding RNA of Arachis duranensis, 1161 nucleotides long. RefSeq lists it as uncharacterized. Lineage: Eukaryota; Viridiplantae; Streptophyta; Magnoliopsida; Fabales; Fabaceae. The record is from RefSeq and is a predicted model, not a curated record. The transcript is spliced from 3 exons.
CCACACCUACUCCUCCUUUGACUCCAUUAUUGCUAGCUGCAUCCACAUUGAUUUUGUAUCUACCUGGUGGUGGAAUUCUCCACCCAUUCGGACUUUGACUCCCUAUAGGUGGCUCUUGGAUCGAGGAUGGUGAAUUCAUUGGAAACAGAGCUUCUGCAAAGGAAGUGGCUGCUCUCUCCAAAAUUGUUUCCGGUGCCAGGUUCUCAUUCUCGAAGAAAAAUUUGUUUUUACUAAGCCAUAGGCCAUGCAAGCAAUAAAUGAACAGUCCCUUUCUCUCCUUUUCAAUUUGAUUUAGAGUUGCUGAUAUCCAUUCUAGCAAUGGCAUUCUAACAGCUUCCGUUCAGAGGUUAAAUGGCAACACGAACUAGAAAUGAGAUGCCCAAUCACAAUCUCUGAAAAGGGUGUUGUGCCUUAACCUCCAUAUGAAAUUCAGAGAUCUUGGAAGAAUUUUCAUCUUUCACAAUUGUUUUCACUUCUCCUUUUCCUGGUUAUUCGGACAGGUACCUGGUUGUUGGUUUCGGUUGUGAGCUCUAAUUAUGUGGUAUUUUCUGGCUGAAAUUGAGGAGCUUGAACAAAAGCCUGAUUCAGAGACAGAGAAAGCACUGUAGAUGCUAUUAGGAUCUGACCUCCAUGCACUCGAAAGAGAUUUUCUAGAGGUACAUAAGUUCAAAUGGCGAGCUCUCAACGAAUAUGGAAAGCCAACAUCUAGGGUUUUCCAGAAAUAUAUAAUAGUCGAUAUUUUACUUUGGAAAUGAAGGCCCAAAACUGGCAUUCUACAUCAAUAAUCUGCCCAAUUCUUGGCGUUCAACGCCCACAAGGGGGUGGCUGGCAUCCAACGCCCAAAAGGGGGUCCUUAGCCAGCGUUUAAUGCCCCUAAGGAACCCUAGCUCAUGGGAGACACUCAAGCUCAGUCCGAACAGUUACCAGGUGGGCCCCAGAAGUGGAUUUUCGCACUGUCAACUUAGUUUAUCUUAUUUCUGUAAUCCUUAGUCAUUAUAUUAGUAUAUAUAGACAAGAGUUUACCAUUAUUAGAGGACUCUUGCCCACUUUCACGUUUACCAUUGUAUUUUUCUAUCAGCAUGAGUCACUAAACCUCCUAGGUUAAGGUUAGGAGCUCUGCUGAUUUUCAUAGAUUAAUAAAAGUACUACUGUUCUAUUCAA